ACUCCUGCGGGAGGCAGCAGUGGGGAAUUUUGGACAAUGGGCGAAAGCCUGAUCCAGCAAUGCCGCGUGUGUGAAGAAGGCCUUCGGGUUGUAAAGCACUUUUGUCCGGAAAGAAAUCCUUGGCUCUAAUACAGUCGGGGGAUGACGGUACCGGAAGAAUAAGCACCGGCUAACUACGUGCCAGCAGCCGCGGUAAUACGUAGGGUGCGAGCGUUAAUCGGAAUUACUGGGCGUAAAGCGUGCGCAGGCGGUUUGCUAAGACCGAUGUGAAAUCCCCGGGCUCAACCUGGGAACUGCAUUGGUGACUGGCAGGCUAGAGUAUGGCAGAGGGGGGUAGAAUUCCACGUGUAGCAGUGAAAUGCGUAGAGAUGUGGAGGAAGACCGAUGGCGAAGGCAGCCCCCUGGGCCAAUACUGACGCUCAUGCACGAAAGCGUGGGGAGCAAACAGGAUUAGAAACCCUGGUAGUCCCAUGAU
This 475-nucleotide ribosomal RNA is filed under the name uncultured organism. RNAcentral's name for it is "partial 16S ribosomal RNA". It matches the Rfam family "Bacterial small subunit ribosomal RNA", at positions 335 to 801 of the family's 1533-position model. The record is from RNAcentral.